UGGGGAAUUUUGGACAAUGGGGGAAACCCUGAUCCAGCCAUGCCGCGUGUGCGAUGAAGGCCUUCGGGUUGUAAAGCACUUUUGGCAGGAAAGAAACGUCAUGGGUUAAUACCCCGUGAAACUGACGGUACCUGCAGAAUAAGCACCGGCUAACUACGUGCCAGCAGCCGCGGUAAUACGAAGGGUGCAAGCGUUAAUCGGAAUUACUGGGCGUAAAGCGUGCGCAGGCGGUUCGGAAAGAAAGAUGUGAAAUCCCAGAGCUCAACUUUGGAACUGCAUUUUUAACUACCGGGCUAGAGUGUGUCAGAGGGAGGUGGAAUUCCGCGUGUAGCAGUGAAAUGCAUAGAUAUGCGGAGGAACACAGAUGGCGAAGGCAGCCUCCUGGGAUAACACUGACGCUCAUGCACGAAGGCGUGGGGAGCAAACAAG
Molecule: ribosomal RNA, 429 nt
Filed under: Acidobacteriota bacterium
Lineage: Bacteria; Pseudomonadati; Acidobacteriota
Description: Acidobacteria bacterium partial 16S ribosomal RNA
Rfam family: Bacterial small subunit ribosomal RNA
Source: RNAcentral